GGGGGGGGGGGGGGGGGGGGGGAGGGGGGGGGGGGGGGGGGGGGGUGGCGGGGGGGGGGGGGAGACCGGCGGAGGGGGGGGGAGCGCGUAUGCGAGCUGCCGUGCACUGGGGGGUGGCCGGAAGGGAGUUGGAGUAAUACCGCAUAGUAUAUAGGGACGGCAUCGUUGUGAUAUUAAAGCUGAGGUGGUGAAAGAUGAGUAUGCGUUCUAUUAGCUAGUUGGAGAGGUAACGGCUCCCCAAGGCGAUGAUAGAUAGGGGUUCUGAGAGGGAUGUCCCCCACACUGGUACUGAGAUACGGACCAGACUCCUACGGGAGGCAGCAGUGAGGAAUAUUGGACAAUGGUCGGAAGACUGAUCCAGCCAUGCCGCGUGCAGGAUGAAGGUCUUAUGGAUUGUAAACUGCUUUUGUAAGGGAAGAAUAAGGGCUACGCGUAGUUUGAUGACGGUACCUUACGAAUAAGCAUCGGCUAACUCCGUG
RNAcentral lists this ribosomal RNA (479 nucleotides) under uncultured bacterium. Its description in RNAcentral is "partial 16S ribosomal RNA". It matches the Rfam family "Bacterial small subunit ribosomal RNA", at positions 39 to 507 of the family's 1533-position model. The record is from RNAcentral.